GUAGGUGGCAAGCGUUGUCCGGAAUUAUUGGGCGUAAAGCGCGCGCAGGCGGGUUUUUUAAGUCUGAUGUGAAAGCCCACGGGCUCAACCGUGGAGGGUCAUUGGAAACUGGAGAACUUGAGUACAGAAGAGGAAAGCGGAAUUCCACGUGUAGCGGUGAAAUGCGUAGAGAUGUGGAGGAACACCAGUGGCGAAGGCGGCUUUCCGGUCUGUAACUGACGCUGAGGCGCGAAAGCGUGGGGAGCAAACAGGAUUAGAUACCCUGGUAGUCCACGCCGUAAACGAUGAGUGCUAAGUGUUAGGGGGUUUCCGCCCCUUAGUGCUGCAGCUAACGCAUUAAGCACUCCGCCUGGGGAGUACGGCCGCAAAGCCUG
Molecule: ribosomal RNA, 374 nt
Filed under: uncultured organism
Description: partial 16S ribosomal RNA
Rfam family: Bacterial small subunit ribosomal RNA
Source: RNAcentral